ACGAAGGUCCCAAGCGUUGUUCGGAAUCACUGGGCGUAAAGAGUGCGUAGGCGGCGCGGAAAGUCAGAUGUGAAAUCCCGGGGCUCAACCUCGGAACGGCAUCCGAUACUCCCGCGCUAGAGGACUGGAGAGGAGUCUGGAAUUCACGGUGUAGCAGUGAAAUGCGUAGAUAUCGUGAGGAACACUAGUGGCGAAGGCGAGACUCUGGACAGUUCCUGACGCUGAGGCACGAAGGCCAGGGGAGCGAAGGGGAUUAGAUACCCCCGUAGUCCUGGCAGUAAACGGUGCUCGCUUGGUAUGCGCGGUUUCGACCCCGUGCGUGCCGGAGCUAACGCGUUAAGCGAGCCGCCUGGGAAGUACGGUCGCAAGAUUA
This 373-nucleotide ribosomal RNA is filed under the name uncultured bacterium. RNAcentral describes it as "bacterial SSU rRNA". It matches the Rfam family "Bacterial small subunit ribosomal RNA", at positions 525 to 896 of the family's 1533-position model. The record is from RNAcentral.